GGGCCAGUAGUCUAGUCCGGAUAAGGCACCAGCCUUCGGAGCUGGGGGUCGUAGGUUCAAGUCCUACCUGGUCCGCCA
This 78-nucleotide transfer RNA is filed under the name Candidatus Heimdallarchaeota archaeon. RNAcentral describes it as "tRNA-Arg". It matches the Rfam family "tRNA". From Rfam's summary of the family: Transfer RNA (tRNA) molecules are approximately 80 nucleotides in length. Their secondary structure includes four short double-helical elements and three loops (D, anti-codon, and T loops). Lineage: Archaea; Promethearchaeati; Candidatus Heimdallarchaeota. The record is from RNAcentral.